Non-coding RNA from Caenorhabditis elegans, 21 nucleotides. NCBI's taxonomy places the organism in Eukaryota, Metazoa, Nematoda, Chromadorea, Rhabditida, Rhabditidae. The record is from Ensembl.
UAUUAAAAAACAAAAACAGGA